AAAAUUCCUAUAAGAAUUUGGGACAAAAUUCCUAUAGGAAUUUUUCCUAUAGGAAUUUUUCCUAUAGGAAUUCCUAUAGGAAUUUUGUCCCAAAUUCUUAUAGGAAUUUUUCCU
Molecule: non-coding RNA, 114 nt
Organism: Paramuricea clavata
Lineage: Eukaryota; Metazoa; Cnidaria; Anthozoa; Malacalcyonacea; Plexauridae
Source: the annotation of a GenBank genome assembly